ACUGCCCCCAGAGGUGUUGCAGGUGGGGCUGCUGUGUCACAAUUUUUGUCAUUUGGUGGCAUACACUCAGCGUUCUGCCUGGGAUUUGGAUGACUGACAGUCUGACA
Small nucleolar RNA from Pteronotus mesoamericanus, 107 nucleotides. RefSeq annotates it as small nucleolar RNA SNORA17. The record is from RefSeq and is a predicted model, not a curated record. The transcript has a single exon. NCBI's taxonomy places the organism in Eukaryota, Metazoa, Chordata, Mammalia, Chiroptera, Mormoopidae.